UGGAGGUAGUGACAAUAAAUCACAAUGCGGGACUCCUAGUCUUGCAAUUGGAUUGAGAACAACGUACAACUCUUAUCGAUAAGCCAUUGGAGGGCAAGUCUGGUGCCAGCAGCCGCGGUAAUUCCAGCUCCAAUAGCGUAUAUUAACGUUGUUGCAGUUAAAAAGCUCGUAGUUGAAGUGAGGGAGUGUGUGUUCAUGAGAGCUAGUCUCGAGUGUUCACAACCUCCCCCCUCCAAUCGGUGUAGUGGGGUAUUCAGUUAUUUCACUACUCCUUUGGUCGUUUACUGUGAGAAAAUUAGAGUGUUCAAAGCGGGCGUUUGUUUGAAUAGAUUAGCAUGGAAUAAUGAUUGAAGGCUUUCGUGUUCGAUUUGAUUGGUUUGUUCAUGGAAGCAAGGUUAAAAGGAACAGCUGGGGGUAUUCAUAUUCACUAGUUAGAGGUGAAAUUCUCGGAUUUAUGGAAGAUGAACAAGUGCGAAAGCAA
Molecule: ribosomal RNA, 481 nt
Filed under: Blastocystis sp. PR-11
Lineage: Eukaryota; Bigyra; Opalinata; Blastocystidae
Description: bacterial SSU rRNA
Rfam family: Eukaryotic small subunit ribosomal RNA
Source: RNAcentral